Molecule: ribosomal RNA, 440 nt
Filed under: uncultured bacterium
Lineage: Bacteria
Description: partial 16S ribosomal RNA
Rfam family: Bacterial small subunit ribosomal RNA
Source: RNAcentral
CCUACGGGAGGCAGCAGUGGGGAAUAUUGGACAAUGGGCGGAACCCUGAUCCAGCGACGCCGCGUGAGUGAAGAAGUAUUUCGGUCUGUACAGCUCUAUUAGCAGGGAAGAACAUUCCGGUACCUGACUCAGAAGCUACGGCUAACUCCGUGCCAGCAGCCGCGGUCAUUCGUAGGGGGCAAGCGGUAUCCUGAUUUACUGGCUGUAAAGGGAGCGUGAGAGGUGCAGCAAGUCUGAUGUGAAAGGUCGGGGCUCAACCCCCGGAAUGCAUUGGAAACUGGUGAACUGGAGUCGAGGAGAGGUAAGCGGAAUUCCUAGUGUAGCGGUGAAAUGCGUAGAUAUUAGGAGGAACACCAGUGGCGAAGGCGGGGUACUGGACAGUAACUGACGUUGAGGCUCGAAAGCGUGGGGAGCAAACAGGAUUAGAUACCCCAGUAGUC